AUUCCGAUAACGAACGAGACUCUAGCCUGCUAAAUAGGUGACGGGUUUUAUCAAUUGAAACCGAAGGGAGUACGGAGGCGUCGGGAUCAGGUGGCGGCGAUUCGGGUCUCGGUGGGACUGGUUCCUUUAGUGAGGCACCCUCUCGGCUUGGAUUGUUUCGUUGUGCUUUGUAUUUGUUGGGUGUACGGCCUUCACGGGUUGGUUGCCUGAUGGGUGUGAGGUAUGGCGGGGCCGUCUUUGUCGGGAAUGUCUCGCGGGGGCUGGCUCUAUUGUUAUUCGGUCGUCGUCAUCCCCGGCGAUACCUUCUGCUCUCGCGUCCGUCACGCAGUCUUC
This 333-nucleotide ribosomal RNA is filed under the name Daphnia obtusa. RNAcentral describes it as "partial 18S ribosomal RNA". Lineage: Eukaryota; Metazoa; Arthropoda; Branchiopoda; Diplostraca; Daphniidae. The record is from RNAcentral.